AAAAUAAAUGCUAAAUUGGGGUUGAUUGUAGGAUGUAGCUUCGCUUGCGUGCGCCCGUGCGUUAUCGGUAUCUUAAAUGGCAGCUCAAGGAGAAAAGACGUGGCUGUAGCGAGAAGCAGAAGCUUGCAAAAGGAACUAGAGGACCGACCCCUCCACCACCAGCACCAUAAUCUCAUCUUCUCAUCCUCCCAUACAUUCUUCACUCGCAGACCUAACGAAGACCCAACAACAAACACAUUCACUAACUCCAGAUUCCUCGAUCACCGAUUAUUUUCUGGAGCCCUAGAAUUAUCGGACCUUCGGACGGUAUCGCUGCGCCAUGGGUGGUUGCUCUUCCUCUCUUCCAGGUAGUACUCCUGGUCAGCUGUCAGGUUUGAAUCAUGAGAACGGUGGAGCUGGAGCAAAUGAUUCUAAAAACCUACGGGUGAAGCUGGUACUGUUGGGGGAUUCUGGUGUUGGAAAAAGUUGUAUUGUUCUUCGCUUCGUCCGUGGUCAGUUUGACCCAACAUCUAAGGUGACUGUAGGAGCUUCAUUCUUGUCACAGACUAUAGCCUUGCAAGAUUCUACCACAGUUAAGUUUGAAAUAUGGGAUACUGCUGGCCAGGAGAGAUAUGCAGCAUUGGCACCACUUUAUUACCGAGGAGCUGCUGUUGCUGUUAUUGUCUAUGAUAUUACAAGUGUAGAGUCAUUCAACAAAGCUCAGUACUGGGUUAAGGAACUACAGAAACAUGGGAGCCCUGAUAUCAUAAUGGCUUUGGUGGGCAACAAAGCUGAUCUUCAUGAGAAUCGAAAAGUCCCUGCUCAAGAUGCUAUGGAUUAUGCGGAGAAGAAUAGGAUGUUCUUCAUUGAGACAUCUGCAAAGACAGCAGAUAAUAUCAAUCAGCUCUUUCAGGAAAUUGCUAAACGGCUACCCCGGGCGUCCUCGUCAUGAUAUUAUGGAGUGAUGAAUUCAUAAUUACUAAACAUGUAUCGAGCUGGAGUUCCCUUACCUAUAUGUUAUCCCUCUUUGUAUCAUUGAGUUUUGUGUCUGAUUUAUCUUUCAAUAUGCUCUAUUCCAUGUUGGGAUUCAGUUUAAAUUGAUAACGAUGUCAGAUGCUGAAUCAGGCUUCCAAAGGGGGGUGGGAUGUGGCAAGAAGACGUUAGCUUGAGGUGCAAUGUGCACAGAAUGUAGUGCCCUUGUUGAACCUCUCUCUCAAUUUCGGGGAUGCUUGCUCAGGUGGUAAUGGUAUGAAAGUUGAAAGGAAACUAGAAUACAAUUUUAUUGAUGACAAGAAGAGUUAUGGGAAAAAAGGAGAAGCAUUUCCAACUCUGUUGCCUGUUUCUACCAUGUGGAUAGAUGGGAGUUCCUUGGAUAGUACACCUAUAAUUUGGUGAUCUCAAUCAUAUAGUUGACAAAUGGGGCUUCUUGUUUUCUUCUAUAAUGGGUCCUGUUCUUCACCAGAACUGACUCUUUAAAAUAAUUUUCACUAUUUUGACACAGCAAUUUUGGAUUAGACUGAAAUAACUAAAUUAGUAGAUGAUGAUGUGGAUGACAAAUCCACAAAGUUAAGUUCCAAAAGCCAUUGCCAUAGGGCAGGAAAAGCCAACAGUGUUGUCAAGGCUUUCAAACCAAAAAGUGGAACUGGAUCAAUAUAUUUUACACUCUAAAACAA
This is an RNA transcript of Macadamia integrifolia, 1652 nucleotides long. It is a transcript of the gene named ras-related protein RABF1, with no coding region annotated. The record is from RefSeq and is a predicted model, not a curated record. NCBI's taxonomy places the organism in Eukaryota, Viridiplantae, Streptophyta, Magnoliopsida, Proteales, Proteaceae. The transcript is spliced from 9 exons.